GCCAGAUGCGAUGGCGCACACCUGUAGUCCCAGCUACUCAGGAGACUGAGAUGGGAGCAUCGCUUGAGUCCAGGAAUUCUGGGCUGUAGUGUGCUAUGCUGAUCAGGUGUCUGCACUAAGUUCAGCAUCAAUAUGGUGACCUCUGGGGAGCAGGGUGGGGGCCACCAGGUUGCCUAAGGAUGGGUGAACUGGCCCAGGUCAGAAACAGAGCAGGUCAAAACUCCCAUGCUGAUCAGUAGUGGGAUCGCGUCUGUGAAUAGCCACUGCACUCCAGCCUGGGCAACAUAGAGAAACCCCAUCUCUA
Molecule: non-coding RNA, 304 nt
Organism: Otolemur garnettii (small-eared galago)
Lineage: Eukaryota; Metazoa; Chordata; Mammalia; Primates; Galagidae
Source: Rfam